RNAcentral lists this transfer RNA (73 nucleotides) under Alosa alosa (allis shad). Its description in RNAcentral is "tRNA-OTHER". The record is from RNAcentral. Lineage: Eukaryota; Metazoa; Chordata; Actinopteri; Clupeiformes; Clupeidae.
GUGGUGGUAGCGUAGUGGUUAACGAGUUGGGCUAGCGUCUGACAAGUUGUGGGUUCAAUUCCCGGCUUCCACC